RNAcentral lists this ribosomal RNA (206 nucleotides) under uncultured bacterium. RNAcentral's name for it is "partial 16S ribosomal RNA". It matches the Rfam family "Bacterial small subunit ribosomal RNA", at positions 741 to 946 of the family's 1533-position model. The record is from RNAcentral.
UGACACUGAGGUGCGAAAGCAUGGGGAGCAAACAGGAUUAGAUACCCUGGUAGUCCAUGCCGUAAACGAUGUCUACUAGCCGUUGGGUCCUUUGAGGACUUAGUGGCGCAGCUAACGCGAUAAGUAGACCGCCUGGGGAGUACGGUCGCAAGACUAAAACUCAAAUGAAUUGACGGGGGCCCGCACAAGCGGUGGAGCAUGUGGUU